UACGGAGGGUGCUAGCGUUGUUCGGAAUUACUGGGCGUAAAGCGCGUGUAGGCGGAUUCGGAAGUCGGGUGUGAAAGCCCUGGGCUUAACUCAGGAAGUGCGCCCGAAACCACGAGUCUUGAGGUCCGGAAGGGAUCGGGGAAUUCCCAGUGUAGAGGUGAAAUUCGUAGAUAUUGGGAGGAACACCGGCGGCGAAGGCGCCGAUCUGGACGGAUUCUGACGCUGAGACGCGAAAGCGUGGGUAGCAAACAGG
This 253-nucleotide ribosomal RNA is filed under the name uncultured bacterium. RNAcentral's name for it is "partial 16S ribosomal RNA". It matches the Rfam family "Bacterial small subunit ribosomal RNA", at positions 524 to 776 of the family's 1533-position model. The record is from RNAcentral.